RNAcentral lists this ribosomal RNA (922 nucleotides) under Exophiala dermatitidis. RNAcentral's name for it is "LSU rRNA". It matches the Rfam family "Eukaryotic large subunit ribosomal RNA", at positions 84 to 1024 of the family's 3401-position model. Lineage: Eukaryota; Fungi; Ascomycota; Eurotiomycetes; Chaetothyriales; Herpotrichiellaceae. The record is from RNAcentral.
UAACGGCGAGUGAAGCGGCAACAGCUCAAAUUUGAAAUCUGGCCUCUUUGGGGUCCGAGUUGUAAUUUGUAGAGGAUGUUUCGGGCACCGCUCCGGUUUAAAUUUCUUGGAACAGAAUGUCAAAGAGGGUGAGAACCCCGUCUUGGACCGGCAGUAGGGCCCAUGUGAAACUCCUUCGACGAGUCGAGUUGUUUGGGAAUGCAGCUCAAAAUGGGUGGUAAAUUUCAUCUAAAGCUAAAUAUUGGCCAGAGACCGAUAGCGCACAAGUAGAGUGAUCGAAAGAUGAAAAGCACUUUGAAAAGAGAGUUAAACAGUACGUGAAAUUGUUGAAAGGGAAGCGCUUGCAACCAGACUUGCGCGCGGCGGUUCCCCCUUCCUUUUGGUUGGGUUAUUCCGCCGUGUCCAGGCCAACAUCGGUUCUGGGGGUCGGUUAAAGGCCUGGGGAAUGUAUCUACCCUUCGGGCGUAGACUUAUAGCCCCGGGUGUCAUGCGACCUCCCGGGACCGAGGAACGCGCUUCGGCUCGGAUGUUGGCGUAAUGGUUGUCAGCGACCCGUCUUGAAACACGGACCAAGGAGUCUAACAUCUAUGCGAGUGUUUGGGUGUCAAACCCGGAACGCGGAAUGAAAGUGAACGGAGGUAGGAAGCUUCGGCUGCACUAUCGACCGAUCCUGAUGUCUUCGGAUGGAUUUGAGUAAGAGCAUAGCUGUUGGGACCCGAAAGAUGGUGAACUAUGCCUGAAUAGGGUGAAGCCAGAGGAAACUCUGGUGGAGGCUCGCAGCGGUUCUGACGUGCAAAUCGAUCGUCAAUUUGGGUAUAGGGGGCGAAAGACUAAUCGAACCAUUAAAAGUUACCGGUGGUUAAGUGUAACCGUGAAAGCGGUUGCAAGUGCCAGGUUCUGGCCCGACACUGUCAAUUGCGGG